Long non-coding RNA from Anthonomus grandis grandis, 1096 nucleotides. RefSeq lists it as uncharacterized. Lineage: Eukaryota; Metazoa; Arthropoda; Insecta; Coleoptera; Curculionidae. The transcript is spliced from 2 exons. The record is from RefSeq and is a predicted model, not a curated record.
AGUGCCAAUACGGUUUUGAUCGCCUAAGUAGAAGGUCGAAUAUCCCGAGAAGUUUGUCGUGGUGUACAGAAUACACCAACGCGACUCAUUAUGCACCGAAUAAAGAUAAAAAAUCCGAAAAGCUUAACCCAAAAUGAAUUGAAAGCUGUGGCCCAGGUUAUAUGUGAUACGGAUUCCGAAGAAGAAAUUGGCGGGUAAGGUGACAUAUCUGAUGAAAAUGAAGAUAUAGAGGAAGAUAAACACAAUUCAAACUCCGAACAAGAAAUAAGCGAGCAAGAAGAACAAGAUGAAGUGGAAGGUGAUCAAAGUUCAGGCUCUGAAGAUGUUCCUCUCUCCGUGUUAGUGGCAAAUAGAGAAGGUCAGUAUGUUGGCAAGGAUAAAACAACUAUUUGGUAUAAAAGUUAUGUAACCCUAUGUGUAAAUCUACUAAAUCCAAAAGCAAAAAUAUAAUAAAAAUACUACCAGGGCCAAAGCAAUGCGCCCGUGACAUAACUGAUGAGAUGAGUGCUUUCUCAAAAAUUGUUGAUGAUGAAAUGAUUGAACAUAUCAUUCAGUAUACUAAUUUGGAAAUUUCAAAAGUUCGGGCAAAUUUUAAUCGAGAAAGAGACGCAAAGGACGUUACAAAAACGGAAAGAUUUCUUUUUUUGCUUGCAAAUAUUAGAUUUGAUGACAAAGGAACAAGGAACGAAAGAAAAAAACCGAUAAGCUGGCCCCGGUGCGAUUUAUUUUGGACAAAUUUGUUUAUAAUUCAGGAAAAAACUACGCUCUUGGUGAAUUUAUGACCAUAGAUAAAAUGUUGAUUGCAUUUAGAGGGAGGUGCAGCUUUGUCCAGUACAUACCCAACAAACCUGCCAAAUAUGGGUUGAAGGUGUUUGCGCUUUGUGAUGCUAAAACAUUUUAUGUCAGUAAAUUAGAGCUCUACUGUGGAAAACAACCAGACGGUCAAUACAAUCAAUUAAACUCGCCAACUGCCAUAGUUCAUCGAUUGUUGGAAGAACAGAAAGGAAGUAACCGGAAUUUAACUUGCGACAAUUGGUAUUCAAGUUACCCUUUGGCACUGGAGCUGUUACAAGAUAAAAUAACAUUUAUCGGGACU